Molecule: long non-coding RNA, 227 nt
Filed under: Elaeis guineensis (African oil palm)
Lineage: Eukaryota; Viridiplantae; Streptophyta; Magnoliopsida; Arecales; Arecaceae
Description: long non-coding RNA (EGUI_LNC033966)
Source: RNAcentral
GCAGCGGAAGACUAAAAUAAAUCAAAAUUUAUCUUAUAAAGUUAGAGAAUUUCUAAAUCUAAGAUCUUAUUACAUAAUUAUUACAUGGUAUUGAAUCAAAAAUUAAAAUAUAAAGAGCAAGAACUACAUAUUGAUCAUAUCAACAUGUUUCUAUACUACAUCUAGUGUAUGUAAAAUAUAAUAGAUCAAAUCUAUUACCUUGCAAGUUAGACAUUCUAACUUUGCUG